UACGUAGGUGACAAGCGUUGUCCGGAUUUACUGGGCGUAAAGAGCGCGCAGGCGGUCGUUCAAGUCGAGUGUGAAAGCCCCCGGCUCAACUGGGGAGGGUCACUCGAUACUGAUCGACUCGAAGGCAGGAGAGGGUAGUGGAAUUCCCGGUGUAGUGGUGAAAUGCGUAGAUAUCGGGAGGAACACCGGUGGCGAAGGCGGCUUCCUGGACCGACACUGACGCUGAGGCGCGAAAGCUAGGGGAGCAAACGGG
Molecule: ribosomal RNA, 253 nt
Filed under: uncultured bacterium
Lineage: Bacteria
Description: partial 16S ribosomal RNA
Rfam family: Bacterial small subunit ribosomal RNA
Source: RNAcentral